Molecule: ribosomal RNA, 497 nt
Filed under: uncultured bacterium
Lineage: Bacteria
Description: partial 16S ribosomal RNA
Rfam family: Bacterial small subunit ribosomal RNA
Source: RNAcentral
GAUGAACGCUGGCGGCGUGCCUAAUACAUGCAAGUCGAGCGAACAGAUGAGGAGCUUGCUUCUCUGACGUUAGCGGCGGACGGGUGAGUAACACGUGGAUAACCUACCUAUAAGACUGGGAUAACUUCGGGAAACCGGAGCUAAUACCGGAUAAUAUUUUGAACCGCAUGGUUCAAUAGUGAAAGACGGUUUUGCUGUCACUUAUAGAUGGAUCCGCGCCGCAUUAGCUAGUUGGUAAGGUAACGGCUUACCAAGGCAACGAUGCGUAGCCGACCUGAGAGGGUGAUCGGCCACACUGGAACUGAGACACGGUCCAGACUCCUACGGGAGGCAGCAGUAGGGAAUCUUCCGCAAUGGGCGAAAGCCUGACGGAGCAACGCCGCGUGAGUGAUGAAGGUCUUCGGAUCGUAAAACUCUGUUAUUAGGGAAGAACAAAUGUGUAAGUAACUAUGCACGUCUUGACGGUACCUAAUCAGAAAGCCACGGCUAACUACGUG